CCUACGGGAGGCAGCAGUGGGGAAUAUUGCACAAUGGGGGAAACCCUGAUGCAGCGACGCCGCGUGAGUGAAGAAGUAUUUCGGUAUGUAAAGCUCUAUCAGCAGGGAAGAAAAUGACGGUACCUGAUUAAGAAGCCCCGGCUAACUACGUGCCAGCAGCCGCGGUAAUACGUAGGGGGCAAGCGUUAGCCGGAUUUACUGGGUGUAAAGGUAGCGUAGACGGCAGCACAAGUCUGGAGUGAAAUGCCGGGGCUUAACCCCGGAACUGCUUUGGAAACUGUGCAGCUAGAGUGCAGGAGAGGUAAGUGGAAUUCCUGGUGUAGCGGUGAAAUGCGUAGAUAUUAGGAGGAACACGAGUGGCGAAGACGGCUUACUGGACUGUAACUGACGUUGAGGCUCGAAAGCGUGGGGAGCAAAAAGGAUUAGAUACCCGUGUAGUC
This 440-nucleotide ribosomal RNA is filed under the name uncultured bacterium. RNAcentral describes it as "partial 16S ribosomal RNA". It matches the Rfam family "Bacterial small subunit ribosomal RNA", at positions 338 to 795 of the family's 1533-position model. The record is from RNAcentral.